UUCCGCAAUGGGCGAAAGCCUGACGGAGCAACGCCGCGUGAGUGAUGAAGGUCUUCGGAUCGUAAAACUCUGUUAUUAGGGAAGAACAAAUGUGUAAGUAACUAUGCACGUCUUGACGGUACCUAAUCAGAAAGCCACGGCUAACUACGUGCCAGCAGCCGCGGUAAUACGUAGGUGGCAAGCGUUAUCCGGAAUUAUUGGGCGUAAAGCGCGCGUAGGCGGUUUUUUAAGUCUGAUGUGAAAGCCCACGGCUCAACCGUGGAGGGUCAUUGGAAACUGGAAAACUUGAGUGCAGAAGAGGAAAGUGGAAUUCCAUGUGUAGCGGUGAAAUGCGCAGAGAUAUGGAGGAACACCAGUGGCGAAGGCGACUUUCUGGUCUGUAACUGACGCUGAUGUGCGAAAGCGUGGGGAUCAAACAGGAUUAGAUACCCUGGUAGUCCACGCCGUAAACGAUGAGUGCUAAGUGUUUAAGGGGGUUUCCGCCCCUUAGUGCUGCAGCUAACGCAUUAAGCACUCCGCCUGGGGGAGUACGACCGCAAGGUUGAAACUCAAAGGAAUUGACGGGGACCCGCACAAGCGGUGGAGCAUGGGGGUUUAAUUCGAAGCAACGCGAAGAACCUUACCAAAUCUUGACAUCCUCUGACCC
RNAcentral lists this ribosomal RNA (646 nucleotides) under Staphylococcus epidermidis. RNAcentral's name for it is "bacterial SSU rRNA". It matches the Rfam family "Bacterial small subunit ribosomal RNA", at positions 364 to 997 of the family's 1533-position model. Lineage: Bacteria; Bacillati; Bacillota; Bacilli; Caryophanales; Staphylococcaceae. The record is from RNAcentral.